GACGAACGCUGGCGGCGUGCUUAACACAUGCAAGUCGAACGAAGUGGCGAACGGGUGAGUAACGCGUAAUUAACCUGCCCUUCAGAGGGGGACAACAGUUGGAAACGACUGCUAAUACCGCAUACUGAAGGAGGGGUUUGCGUCUGAUUAGCUAGUUGGAGGGGUAACGGCCCACCAAGGCGAUGAUCAGUAGCCGGGCUGGGAGGAGGAACGGCCACAUUGGGAAUGAGAAACGGGCCAGACUCCGAAGGGAGGGAGCAGUGGGGGAUCUUCCGAAAUGGACGAAAGGCUGACGGAGCAACGCCGCGGGAGGGAUGACGGCCUUCGGGUUGUAAAGCUCUGUUAAUCGGGACGCGGUACCGGAAUAGAAAGCCACGGCUAACUACGUGCCAGCCGCCGCGGUAAUAC
Molecule: ribosomal RNA, 408 nt
Filed under: uncultured bacterium
Lineage: Bacteria
Description: partial 16S ribosomal RNA
Rfam family: Bacterial small subunit ribosomal RNA
Source: RNAcentral